This 563-nucleotide long non-coding RNA is filed under the name Gallus gallus (chicken). RNAcentral describes it as "lncRNA (ENSGALG00010019808.1)". The record is from RNAcentral. Lineage: Eukaryota; Metazoa; Chordata; Aves; Galliformes; Phasianidae.
CACAGGGCUCCUCUCUGCCGUGUUAUCAGCACUGCUUGUGGUGCCCUCAUUUUUAUGCAGUGUACACGUCCUUGUAAGGAUGGCUGGAAUACAGCAUUCAGAGCAAGACUUGUGUUCUUCCCCAGAUCGCACAUCAUGAAGUUACAUUUCCUUAGGCACAGCUUCCCUUGUUCGGGAACAACCAGUUUGGCAUUGCAUUCAUUCUAAUGUCCAUGGGAAUGCAAUUAUGCAUCCAGCUCUCUGAAAUCCUCAGGGAACUCAGGACAAUCUGUAUUAGGGACCCUCGCUGGCUUCUCAUGGACUCCCUUGGGUCACUCUCAUGUCCCUCUGCCACCCGGUGUGUGAGGAGCUGUGUAUAACAGGACAGGGCUGAGAGAUGUAUGUGCUGCUGCUUGUGAGCAGUUUUGAAGAACUAGAUCGAGUAGACCUUCUAUUUGACUUUCAUGGAGGAUGAAACCCUUUAUCUUCUGCACAAAUUACCCCACCUUGCCUGACCCCAGUGCCUGAGCUGUACCUUGAGCAAAUGGAAAUCCCAAAAGUGCUCAGUGCUGUCACAACUCUGC